This 263-nucleotide non-coding RNA is filed under the name Agathis borneensis. Lineage: Eukaryota; Viridiplantae; Streptophyta; Pinopsida; Araucariales; Araucariaceae. The record is from RNAcentral.
UCCAAGAAAAAAAGAAAAAAAACCGACCUUCCUUCACCCCCACAUGGGGGUGGGAGGAUCGGGAUGUGGUCGUCCGUGCCCCACGACGGCGCGGUUGGCUGAAGCAUGCGCAUUGGCUCAUCGUCCCUUCUGACCCCAAUGAGCGGUGGCCCCCUUCGGAGUCGGCGUUGGUCGGGUGUCAGGCGAUCGAGACUCCGCAUAGGACUUUAUGGCACAGCGGGCGGCUUGCAUUUUUUCACGCGGCCCCCAUCCCCUACCCCAGC